This 301-nucleotide ribosomal RNA is filed under the name uncultured bacterium. Its description in RNAcentral is "partial 16S ribosomal RNA". It matches the Rfam family "Bacterial small subunit ribosomal RNA", at positions 509 to 808 of the family's 1533-position model. The record is from RNAcentral.
CAGUAGCCACGGUAAUACGUAGGGUGCAAGCGUUAAUCGGAAUUACUGGGCGUAAAGCGCGCGUAGGUGGUUCGCCAAGUUGGAUGUGAAUCCCCGGGCUCAACCUGGGAACUGCAUCCAAAACUGGCGAGCUAGAGUAUGGUAGAGGGUGGUGGAAUUUCCUGUGUAGCGGUGAAAUGCGUAGAUAUAGGAAGGAACAUCAGUGGCGAAGGCGACCACCUGGACUGAUACUGACACUGAGGUGCAAAAGCGUGGGGAGCAAACAGGAUUAGAUACCCCCGUAGUCCCUGUCUCUUAUACA